RNAcentral lists this ribosomal RNA (253 nucleotides) under uncultured bacterium. RNAcentral describes it as "partial 16S ribosomal RNA". It matches the Rfam family "Bacterial small subunit ribosomal RNA", at positions 524 to 776 of the family's 1533-position model. The record is from RNAcentral.
UCCAGAGGGUGCGAUCGUUAAUCGGAAUUACUGGGCGUAAAGCGCACGUAGGCGGCUUGGCAUGUCGGGUGUGAAAUCCCCGGGCUCAACCUGGGAACUGCAUCCGAAACUGCCUUGCUAGAGUAUGGGAGAGGGAAGUGGAAUUUCCGGUGUAGCGGUGAAAUGCGUAGAUAUCGGAAGGAACAUCAGUGGCGAAGGCGACUUCCUGGACCAAUACUGACGCUCAGGUGCGAAAGCGUGGGGAGAAAACAGG